RNAcentral lists this small RNA (24481 nucleotides) under Caenorhabditis elegans. Its description in RNAcentral is "Unclassified non-coding RNA ZK177.14". The record is from RNAcentral. Lineage: Eukaryota; Metazoa; Nematoda; Chromadorea; Rhabditida; Rhabditidae.
GCCGAUCCGGAGCGUCACGACAUCAGCAAAUUGCACACAGUCGCGAAACGCAUCGUUACUAAUUUGAACGGAAGUAAAAAGGAUAAAGAGGUCGCUUGUAUGGUUUGUAUGGAACUGAAUUCAAUAACUGAUUAUAAAUUUUCAGAAAGUCCGGCAAGCUGUUGAAAUGGUGGGAGCGGCCAAAACUUGGAAAAAUCUAUGUCUUGAUCGCCAAUUAUUCAAGCAAGUCAUUGUACACGAACAUUGAUCUUUUGAUACUCAACUUCUCUUUCGGACUUUUAAAUGGACUUCUUUUGAACUUUUUUGAACUCCUUUUUAUUUAUUAUGUUUCUUUCAAAUGAAUAAAGCUGUGUAAUAUGAGAUUUGAGAAUAUUCGAUCCCGAAAAACACUGAAAAAAAAGAGAACAGUAGCCAUUUUUCAUAUCCAAUGAGGAUAGGGCUGUUACGGAGACGUCUCUUUUCUCAAAUUUUCUCAAAAGAGAAGAACUUCUUCUCACGUUUUCCACUGUUUUACCGUUUUUAGAAAUGUAAAACCGUUAAAACUGUGGAAAACGUGAGAAGAAGUUCAUUCUCUUUUGAGAAAAUUUGAGAAAAGAGACGUCUCCGUAACAGCCCUAAGUAAGGGAGUUCUGAGAAUUGGCAUUGAUUCUUCACUGUAACAGUAUUUGGAAAAUUUAACCUGCACACCGAAUCUGUCAAAAAUUAAAGUGGAUAUUGCCCAUACGCAAAACUAUGCGAAUAUGUAUCUUGUAAGAACCAAUUUAAAAAAAAGUAUUGCAUUCCGGAGCUUUUGCUGAUUAGAACAUAAAUCAUAUUGUUUUCAAAGUUGAAUUUUUUAAAGUGCUGAUUUUUUCCAGUUUCAAGCUGCUAAGCUUUUUUUAAAAAUUCCCCCUAUUCCUACAUUGACACUUUGAAAUUUUUGAAAACCCUAGAUCUGGAACAUGUUUUGUUCUCGAAACGUCGUGCCAAAAAUUGUUUAUAGCCGUCAACCAUCACACAUUACUCGCAGUCGCUAUCACAGAAAAAUCACGCGAAAUCGUCAUCAAACCAUUCCCGAUUUUCGGUCAUCAAUAUGUAGUCUACAGCAUUUUAAAAAGUCUUUGGUUUUCCAAUAUCAUGAUAUCUGUUGAUAAACAUUCUAUCCGUUAUGUCUCGACAAGUAUAAAUAGGAAGAGAUGUAGAACGUUGUUGUCAGCUGGUAGCCUACAAAAAUGAAUUCGCAAACCUACUUUUGGAUAUUUAUUUCAAUCUGUUCAAUAUUACUUUUGCAAUCAAUUAAAGCAAAGUAAGUUUUUUCAAAAUAUAAACAAAUUUGUUCCUAGAACUGUGUAUGGAAAACGUUUUGAGUACUUCUUCAGAAGAUAUGGAGACUCUAGUUACAUUUUACCUUUAAAAUUGUUAUGCAGUUUUAAAAUCUAAAACACUUUCAGUAUAAAUGUUCGUGAAAAACGCCAAUGGGGAUUCGGAUAUCCGUUAUUUGGAGGGCUCGGAAACUCCUGGGAGGUGCCAAGUAAUCUUCCAACUUAUUGGGGAUACAAUGCAAUGGCUGGACGUUAAAUAAAUAUAUAGAUCUACUUUUAUUCUAAAGCAAUAAUAAUUUUUUCACAUACCAAAUUUUUAACUACUUAAAAACACUACAUGAUCUCAGGGAAUUUGGCAGUUAGACAAAAUUUAACUCAUAAAACUCGCAUUGAUAUUUUUAUAAAAUAUAUUUAUAAAUAUAUAUAUACAUAUAAUUCAAACCUUCAAGUUUCCUGAAACGAUACCUUAUAUUAGCUUUUGUCGACAACUGAAAUAGUAGUUCUGACGCAAAGAUCUUACGCAAAGAAAUCACAUGGGACAGAGUAAUCGGAUUUAAAACAUUUUAUUCACAGUAUUCUAGGAUACACAUUUCUAACAGGAGAAACUAUUUAAUUUUUACCAAAAUCCGCUAUUAUAGCUACUGUAUCCACCAGAACUAUAACUCGAAUAUGAUCCCCAUGAGCUGCUUCCAUAGUUUCCGCCAUAUCGUCCGCCAUACCCUCCUCCGUAUCCGCCUCCAUAUCCGCCACCGUAACCUCCACCAUAUCCACCGUAGCCGCCGUAGGGAUAUCCACCUCCCCAUCCACCAUAUCGUUUUUCGCGAUGUCUAAAAUAUAUAAUUAUUGUUACCUCGAAAAAUUAAUGGCCAAGUUUUUUGUUUUUUUAGUUUUAUGAGAAUAACUUUGAAUCUUGCCAAAACACGUGGUGUCAGAGUGUCCCAUGUCGGUUUGAUCUACGUAGAUCUUCGAAAAAAGCGGGAUUUGAGACGCAGAGUUUUCAACUGAUUUUGCAUAGUUAAGAACGCGCUCACGUCACUUUUUUGGGCGAAUAAAUCUCGUAUUUUUGUAGAUCAAACCGUGAUGGGACAGCCUAACACCACGUACCCAAAACGAUCACCAUGAUCAUCGAAUUCAAAUUCUUUGUAGCUGUUUUUUUAGGAAAUAUAUUUACAAGACUGGUUGACUUUCUGAUUCUGUCACCAAUUCCUAGCGAGACCCAAAGUUUAAGGGCGGAGUUUUAUUUUCUUUUCGUAGAGCGUGUUUGCACCUCAAUUUUAAAUGCACAUUUUAAUGCACACUAAAUAUUUUUCAGUGAUGUCCCCAUAAUAAUUGCUAGUUUCAGACUAGUAUUUAAAAAAGCUGAUAUGAAAAAUAUUCGACCGCUCACCCUUCAGGAGCCUUCCAUCCCAAAUUCCUCGGAUGCUUCAGACUUUGUGAAGCUGUCUCCAAAUCUGCAGAAGCCUCUGUGAAGUUUGAUAGAAUAAUUGUGGCAAGACAGAAUACAAGAAGAGAUUGCAUUUCUGAACUUUCAAAAUUUUAUUUUUACUCUGCUUUUUAUAUGAGACCGGCAUAUUAUUUUCAUCCAAUUCUGUCCUAUUCCUCUUCCUCGUACAGUUAGGCUUACUGAAAAACACAUUCGGCAAACUAAAUUAAAAUUUCCGAACUUCACCUUGAUUUUUUAUAUUUUUUAUUGUAAUCACUAGAGCCCUGUUUACAAUAUUUCCAAAAUCAUUGACCCAUUGACUCAUCAUAAGUGCAUUUCGACCAGAACAUAACGACGGCAAAAAACCUGAUUUGAUGCAGUGGUUUGACGAAUCAUUGUCUCUUUUACGUUUUCAGCAAAUUUGGUGAAUACUACGGGAAUGGGAAGUAAAACAUAAUAUCAAAAAUAUGGUGGGGGAAGAAAAAAUGAUAUAAAAAGAAAAGAAAAAGUGAUCCAGACAAUCAGUCUUUCCUGUUUUUAAAUUUGAUUAUCAUGCAUUCAACUACUCUAUUCUUCGUUGUUUUUGGUAUCUUGGUGGCUGUAUCGUUGGCGUUUGAUGACUUGAAUCAUCCGAAGAACUUACAAUGGAGAUCUUCAGAAGGGUGAGUUAUUUGGAGAAAAAUUUAUGAAUUAAUUUCCAAUUAAAUUUCAGAAGCCGUGUUAAACGAUGGGGUGGCUGGGGAGGCGGAUACCCAGGAGGUUACGGAGGUGGUUAUCCAGGUGGAUACAGUGGCUAUGGUGGUGGAUAUCCUGGAAUGUAUGGUGGUGGAAUGGGUGGAAGCUAUGGGAGCAGCUCAUGGGGAAGCUACUCGAGCUCAAGAUCUGGAGGAUUUAGCAGUUUUAAUAAUGGAUACUAUGGACGAUAAGUCGGUUCUCAAUUCUGAUCUCACUGUUUUAAAUAUGAAAUUUCGUUUGUAUAAAUUCGUUGAUUAAAAAAAGUAUCAAUUCAUGCAUUACAAAUAACAGAUCAAUUUACAAGAUGGCUUAAAACAUUGAAAUUCCUAUUACCAAAUCGAAUAGUUCGACGACGAGGAGCUGGGCUUUUUUGGCACACUUGGUGGCGAGAAGAGACUGAAAUGCCAAAUUAAUACUAUUUGAUAGGAAAUUUCGGAAUUACUCGUAAUUAAAUGGAGAAUAGUCGGGAUUUGAUUUAGACGGCGAUAAGGCUUCUUGGUGAUUUCUUUUUCUCGACGUUCUUGGCACACUUGAAUCGGUGUCGAAUGAAACUAGUCUGUUCUUUUGUCGUUCAUCAUCUGAUUUUGUCGUAUAGUCUCCGAACGAAGGAAGCAUACUUUUCUGAUGUUUUUUAGAUUCAUCCGCGUUUUUGGGCAAAUAUGAUGUUUCAAACUGAAUUAAUAAAACUUGAAAUUCCAUUUCAAAAAUUUAAUUCAACUUACAAAGUCUUCCUGGCUGUCCAGAUUCAGAGGAUCCUCAUUGUGGAAGUUGGCUUCAUCAAAUCUAGGCUUUGAUGCACUUGCUUUGAUGGGAGCUUGUUUUUCCUCCGAGCCAAUUUCCAAAUAGUACGGGUCGCGUGCUUCUUCUAUUUCCUGCUCGUACUCUUCGAAAUCACUGAAUAUAUGUACUAUUAUUGAGCUCUUUCUGAAUAGAAGUUACCUCGACACAAUAUCAUGUGAAUAGAAAGGAUCUUGUGGUAGAUAGUCUAUUUUAUCAUUGAAUUCUUCACGAUACAACAACCAAUCAGACCUCUCGAUUAAAUAAUCGAAAACUGGAUUCUUCUGAUACUCUUCAGAUUUCUGAAAAAAAAUACACACUAUUUCCGUUAAUGUCUCAGUGAGCACUGAAUCCAACCGUCUUUGCUAGAGCAACUGCGACAAGAGCCUUUUCAACUGUUCCUAUCGUGGUCCCGGUGUGAUUUUGAAGUGGGAUCGGACGAAUUGAAUCGAUUCGGCGUAGACGUGAAGAAAAUCGAUUUAUACUUUGGUCCAGCGUGGGAGAAACUUUUAAUCUUUCUAUUCUCAUAGGCUUCAUAUUGCUUUCUGCAUCUUGGGAUCCCCACUUUUUCAGCCACGGAAGAACAUGCUUCACUGAACGACCCACAGUCGAAGCUCCAAUGGUUUCUUUUUUCGUUGUCUUAGUUUUCCCUUGUUGUUCUUCUUCUUCUUCAGAAUUUAAUCUCUUCAUUGGAGGUAGUUGAUUUCGAGUUUGUUGAUCUUUCUUCACUCCAAUAUCGCUAAAAUCCCAAGUUUUUGAAAUAUUGCUGCGUGGAAAAUUUGAAAAUUUUCUUAUCGGAGUUGGGGAUGCUGAACGCCCUCUUGAUGUACUCAGAUUAUCGUCCGAAUUCUGGAAUACGCUGUGGUUGGUUAACUUUAAUUUUCACUUUAACAAUAACCUGAAAUGAAACAUUUGCAGAAGAUGGGAGGGAACUUUUGGCAUUGGCGAACAUUCCAGCUUGAACAUAGUGUCUCCGAUGUCUCUGCAAACAACACAUCACUGUUUUAUUGCACAAUUCCAAUGAUAAAUUUUUUUGAACACGUGUUCUUUUCUUAUUUAAAAAAAAUGGAAUGGGAAAAAUUCAUUACUUUUUAAAACUCACAUCCUGUUCGCUCGAUCUUUAUGUUCCGACUAACAUACUAACUACUAAUGUUGUAAGUUUGAUAAAUAAUUUGAAGAUGUUACCUGGGGGAAUCCAUUGACAUCUACAGCUACAGGGCGAUUACCUGAACAAUUUGUUGUUAGAAGUUGGCUUUUUGGAAAAGAGCUUACUUGGAACUAUUCUCUUGAAGCUUGAGAUUGUUGGAUUUUUGUAAAAUCUUCCUUUUCGAAAUUUAAUUACUUCUCGCUGUGGAUGCAUUAUAAAUUUAAAGAAAAAAGUUCAACAAUAAUGAUUAUUUAUUAUAAUAAAAAACAAUAAAUGUUCCAAACUGAACAUUUUUCAAAAACUACUGUAAUCGUGGCGAGACCCCAAAUUAACUGCGAAAGUAUGCGCCUUUAAAACCGUAUGGGAGAGAAACCGCGAUAUUUUUCUUUUUCACUCGCAUUGAUUUCAUUUUUCGAGAUUUGACGAUUUUCUGGCUUUACGCAUGCUUUUUCAGAAUUUAUAAGAAUUAAUAACCGCUAGAUUAUGUCACUAACAAACGUUUUUUAAUAUAAAUUACACAUUAUUCACUUAAAUUGUGUGUUUUUAUGUCGAAAAACUGCCGUUUUAGGGAAGCAUAAUUUCCGGUUGCUCUCGGUUCUCCAGAUCUUAAUCUCAUCAUACAAGUAAUGCAAAUUCGCCCCAGCGGUGUUCUUUUUCGACCACAACUGGCGGCAAUUUCGAACGUGCAUGCCAUUUUGACUAAACGUUGAUUAUUUAUUUUUCCUACGGCUCUUACAAAGCUUGAAUUUCCUCGAAAGAAUUUUAAUCUAGUUUUCAGCUCAAUUUUCGUUUGAAAAAUAUAAUUGUUUUUCAGUAGCUAUCGAUUCUCCACAAUGAACAACAAAGGACGCACGCCCGGUAGUGCCGGAAGAACAGUCAGAUCGUCCGCACAACAAAAUGUACAGGAAGUUCAAUUAUUAUAUUGUUGGACAUAAAGUUUCCAAUUGCAGGGUCUGACAAUGCGAAAAAGAGACAUGACACCCACUCGCAACACAAACUUGCUACCCAACGCAACUUUCGUAGGUGAUCGAUUUCUUGGAGUCCGACUGGAUCAGGAUGAACUCGAUCAUGCUAAUCAUCUCAUGACGAGUAAGCUCUACAGCAACGUAUGUGGAAACAAUUUAUGAAUAAAAUUCUAUAUUGAUGAAAUUUACAGAAAGAGAAUUUGAAUAAUUCCAUGUCCGAGCCCAACAGUCCGGAGAAGAAAAGUGUGGAAGGAGAAGCUCUGAAACAAAUGAUGCGCCACAAAUCCACUGGAGCUCUUACCGAUGCUGAUGAUGGAGAUCGCAUUCUUUGCUAUAAGAAAAAUCUCGCUCCACCACCAGCAAUUGGAUAUAUUAAUCAGGCAAAAGUAGCGAUUAUUACUUUAAUUUAAUUUAAAAAUCGUUGGAAAUUAGUAAAACUCUAAUUUUAGGUAUUGUAUAGUACAAAUAGUGUGAUCAAUCCAGCAUCGUCAGUGAAAAAGUCGACGAGACAUGUCAAAGAGACUGCGACGAAAGUCCUGGAUGGACCUGGACUCACUAGUGAGUUAAUAUAUGUGUUCUUUUUUCUCAAGUUUUCCAUUAAUUUCAGAAGACUUAUAUUCACGUCAUCUUGAUUGGGGAUGUCACAAUUGGGUUGCAGUCGCUUUAGGACACGAAUUAUACCUCUGGAACACUGAGACAUGUGUCAUCAAGGCAAGAUUUUGAUGGCCACUUUCAAAAUAUUGUUUUGUUUUUUUCCAGAAUCUCUUUGAAGACAAUGCUCCGACUAACGAAGGUCUGAUCACCUCAGUACGAUGGAGUCAGGAAGGUCGAUAUAUUUCCCUAGGAUACGCAUCAGGAGCUGUCAAGGUACAAUUGCUGUCAAUAUAUUUGAUCAAGUUUUCCUUUUUCAGAUCUAUGAUCCAAAUCGUCCGAAAACCACUGAGUAUGUGCGUGAGUUGAGAACCCUUCGAGUCGGUGGAGCUUCACGAUGUGGUCAGUUAAAAUGAAAGACGGAGUGAUGCUUCAACUUCAUUAUUUUUUCAGCUUCAAUUGCAUGGAGAAAGCAAGGAGUGAUGACAUGUGGUUAUAAAUCAGGAGACAUUGUUAAUCACGACGUCAGAAUCUCUCAACAUGUUGUUAGUUCGUGGGGAGGCGACAAUGGUCAUUGUCGUGACGUCACAGCUCUCGAAUGGUCUGCAGAUGAGAAUAUGUGCGUCAGUGGAUCAUCUGAUAGAACUGCAAAGAUUUGGGAUGGCCGUCACGUCAGAGGAAGUACAGUUAUUCAGGAUCCGGUAUCAUUUCCAACUAGUUAAUAAUAUUAAUUAUUCAUGGUCAAAAUUUCAGGAACCUAUGUUCACUAUUGACGAGCACACUGGUCAAGUUCGUACAGCUCAAUUCUGUUCAUUCCGAGACGGCAUCCUGGCCACUGGCGGUGGAAUUAACGAUGGAACUGUGAAGUUGUGGGAUGUCAAGAGACAGUUCCAAAAAGUUCGAGAGCUUAAUGUUUGUGAAACUGGCGGUGUCGGUGGUAUUGUAUUCAAUCGUCCGUACUCUGAAAUGCUAACAGCUUCUGACGAUGGUUUCCUGCGUAUUUACCGAUUCAAUGCAAACUACAAGCUAUCUCACGAAAUUCAAGGUGAGAACAUUAUCAAAAUUCGUUCCUACAAUAAAAAUAAAUAAUUCAGCAUCUAACGAACCUAUCAUGGAUCUUGUUGGAUCUCCGUUCGAUGAAGUACUUAUUGGAGACAUGGAGGAAACUUUGAAAGUAUUCCAAUUGUUCAACGUCGACAAGAGUACGAACAUUCUCGAUAGAACUGCGCCGAAAAACGUUGGCUUGAACGUUAGAUAAAAUUUUACUGUACCUUAAUUUACUGUACCUUAAAUCUUAAUUGUUUGUUAUCCCCUCAAAGAUCAUCCUACUUCUUUUUAUUUAUUCAUUACGAACGCCGUUUUGACGCUAACCUUAACUUUUCGAAUUAGUUUCAGAUUUAUUAAUCUGUAAAUGGUCUCUUCUUGUCUUCUCACCUCUGAAUACACGUCAACAUGAACAUUUGUUUGUAUUGUUGCUGAAAUUUCCGCUCAUUUUUACUUUUUUUAAUUCCAAUAAAGUCAUUUUUUCAAGAUUAAAACAUCUGUUUUGAUAUAAACCAUUGUCAAUAGGUCAAUUGCCUUAUCUUAUCAGAAAGUCGAUACUUGUUUCGUUUUUGUCUAAAAACUCCGAACCGGUGUGUCUAAUUCUCUUUUUAAUUUUGAAUUUUCGAAAAUGCGAAGAUCUAUAAGAAACUUGGCUGAAAAUGUUGAAAAAUGUCCAUAUUCUCCAACUUCUUCGCCCAACACUCCACCACGGACAUUCUCCGAAAUUCCUGGUCCUCGAGAGAUUCCAGUCAUCGGGAACAUUGGGUAUUUCAAAUAUGCAGUGAAAUCUGGUGAGUUUUCAGUAAUUUUAUUGAAUAUUUUUUAUCUUAUAUAUAUAUUUUUUUUUUUAGAUGCGAAAACGAUCGAAAACUAUAAUCAGCACUUAGAAGAGAUGUACAAAAAAUAUGGAAAAAUUGUGAAAGAAAAUCUUGGCUUCGGAAGAAAAUACGUUGUUCAUAUAUUUGAUCCUGGUAGUUGAGUUAUUCGAUUUUCUAAUUCAAAUAUACAAUUUUCAGCUGAUGUUCAAACUGUGUUGGCCGCGGACGGAAAAACUCCAUUUAUUGUUCCACUUCAAGAAACAACACAAAAAUAUCGAGAAAUGAAAGGAAUGAAUCCCGGUCUUGGAAAUCUGUAAGAAUAAACAUUCGAAUAUUGAUAUCAGGAUAAUUUUAUUACAGAAAUGGUCCUGAAUGGUAUCGUCUGCGAUCUUCAGUUCAACACGCAAUGAUGAGACCACAAUCGGUUCAAACGUUUGCACAGUUUUAUGAUCUCAAAACCAAAUUCUCAUUUCAGAUAUCUUCCAUUUUCUCAAAUUGUGUCAAAUGAUUUGGUUUGUCACGUGGCAGAUCAACAGAAAAGAUUUGGACUUGUAGAUAUGCAAAAAGUCGCCGGAAGAUGGUCACUCGAAUCUGCUGGUCAAAUACUUUUUGAAAAAUCUCUUGGAUCUCUAGGAAAUCGAUCGGAAUGGGCCGACGGACUUAUUGAGCUGAAUAAAAAGAUUUUUCAAUUAUCUGCCAAGUUAGGUUAAAGCAAACUUAUGCAUAAUUGAAUUAGAUUUUUAGAAUGAGACUCGGUCUUCCGAUAUUCCGUCUGUUCUCAACACCUUCUUGGCGGAAAAUGGUAGAUCUGGAGGAUCAGUUUUAUUCAGAAGUCGAUCGCCUGAUGGAUGAUGCUCUGGACAAACUGAAAGUCAACGAUUCUGAUAGGUUUGCACUUUAAGACUGGGAAAAGUUUUUACAUAUUCAAUAUACUCUAGCAAAGAUAUGAGGUUUGCAAGCUAUUUGAUCAACAGGAAAGAAUUGAAUAGACGAGAUGUGAAAGUAAUAUUGCUGUCAAUGUUUUCAGAUGGUCUGAGCACGGUAAGCUGACUGUAACUUAUUAAAAUAAUAAAAAAAACAUUUUUUAGACUGCACCGAUGCUAAUAUACAACCUAUAUAAUCUCGCAACACAUCCUGAAGCACUAAAAGAAAUUCAAAAAGAAAUAAAAGAAGAUCCAGCAUCUUCCAAGCUUACAUUCCUCCGUGCUUGUAUCAAGGAAACGUUCCGAAUGUUUCCAAUUGGGACUGAAGUUUCAAGAGUCACCCAGAAAAAUUUAAUACUGUCCGGAUAUGAAGUACCUGCUGGGACAGCUGUUGACAUCAAUACAAAUGUUCUAAUGAGGUAUGCAAUUUUAAAAAUCUGAUCACAAUUAAUGCUACAUUUUAGACACGAAGUUCUGUUCUCUGAUUCUCCCCGCGAAUUCAAGCCUCAACGAUGGCUUGAAAAAUCGAAAGAAGUUCAUCCGUUUGCUUAUCUUCCGUUCGGAUUCGGGCCACGGAUGUGCGCUGGUCGACGAUUCGCCGAGCAGGAUCUACUAACAUCACUUGCCAAGCUGUGUGGAAAUUAUGAUAUUCGUCACAGAGGAGAUCCAAUAACUCAGAUCUAUGAAACUCUUCUUCUACCACGUGGCGAUUGUACCUUUGAAUUUAAAAAAUUGUAAUUUUUCCAUUUUAGAUCAAAAUAUUAAAAUUUUUCUUGUAUUUUUACUAUUCUUCUGUAUGAUAAAUUAAGCUCGAUAUUAUUCUUGUUUCUUGCUUCCCCAGUUGGGCAAAUGAUUUACUUUUGUUCAAAGAUUUAUUUCUAAAAAAAAGUGAAAUUGUAAUUAGGUUCAUGCGCUCCAUCGACACUCGACAGAGAGACGGUGGAGACGCAGAAAUUACCAGACGGAGAAGUAAAUUUUCGAAUUGAAUUAGUUUUUCUCUUUUAAAGUGGGUUUCCUUCAUUUUUAUAUUUUUAUUAACGAAGUAUAUUAAUUGAAAUUUCAUAAAUAAUAUAUUUUCAGCCAUGCUCAUCACCCAUCUCAUCGAUUCUCUCAGCGACAGAGCUGUUAUCACUCCCUUAACUCCAACGAGUGUCAUUAUUUACGAUAAAAAUGAAUUAAAAGUUUAUGUCGGAUUCACAAACAAUCGUAAUAGCUUAGAAUACACAAAGGAAGUGGUUAGUAGUCGUGAAUUAUAAUUUUUUGGUAUAAAACGUGCUUUCAGGUUCUUCUCCUGUCGACAGAGAUUCCAAAGAAAGCGGAAAUUCGUGAAAUUAUUGUUUCUAAAAAUGGUUUGUAAUUAAAAAAUCUAUGAAAAUAAUAAAAUUUUUAAGGCGACUAUGUGAUUCUGGAAGGUCCGAGAAGUUUAUUCGUUGUGAGAAUUGGCGCUGAGAUUUUAGUGGCAAAACCUGAUCGUUUGCCAUCUGAAUGCUUUUGCGAGUGAGAAUAUAAAACAUUUGAUAUAGUAAUAAUAUAAAUUCAAUUUCCAGAUGCUACCCUCUCCACGACAGUCUUCUUCUUCAGAAUAUUUCGCUCUCGGUCGUUAAAGUUCGCCUUUUACCUGAGAAAUGUGACGAAAAGACUUUCGUGACCGCAGUUCUCUUCUCGGAUAACUGUAUUAGGUUUUUCUCGAGAUUCUCGCUGAUAAUAUUUUUUCUAAAAUUUUAAUUUUCAGAUUCUACAAUCUCCAGAAAAAGUUCGAUUCUCUGCUUUUAGCGGUUGAUUUUCGAAAUCAUCUUCACCAAGUACACGAUGAAAAUGUGGCAAAUAACACAUUUGGACUUCAGAAGGCAUUAGGUUUGUGUAAUUGAGAAAAGUGCUCAAUAAUCUAUCAAAUUUACAGUUUCCUUCGAUUUGAUUCCUCCAAAACCGAAUACUUCGCAUUUUUCAAUAAUUUCCAUUGAUUCCGACUGUGAUUUCUACACUUCAUUCGUCCAUUUUUCAUGUUUUAAAGAAGGUUAUGCUCCUCGUAUUCAUCGUAUUGAACCUGUCGACGGACUCCCAUGUGAUCCACUGGAUCUUCGAUACAUUCAAACUACAAAUCCUCGAAUCUGUUCGGUUUUCGUAUUGGUGUCUGGUGGUGGAGUUCUUAGUCAUCUAGUCGUUUUUCCAAAUGAGUUCGGAGAAUUUCGGUUAGUUUUAUUUUUCGAAAAGUUUUUUUUUGAAACAAUUUUUUUCAGAUUUCUUGUGAAGGAUCAACUUCGUCUCCCAUCAUCAAAUGGCGAUCCAAGAAUAGUACAAAAUCAAAUCAGAUCAUUGAAAGUCAGCAGAUAUGAAAUUGCAACAUCUUCUAGUCUUUUCUCAGUCAACAUCUUCCCCUGGUUUGAAGCUUUGACUUCUAUGUACGUUUUUUUACAAACGGCUGUGCGCCUUUAAAAAGUACCGUAGUUUUAAACGUUCGUUGCUUCACCGAUUUCGCAUAGUUUCUGAUUAAAGGUUUAUUUAUUUGCUUAAAAAACUAAAAUAAAUCAAUCAAAAACACAUAAACUUCGACAACUUGAAGAAAAUUCUACGUCAACGAAAGUUUGAAACUGCUGUAAUCAUUAAAGGGACACAGCCAUUUGUAGUCGUGUCAAGACCGGGUACCGUAUAUUUAGAUCAGAUUAAACAAUUUUUUUAAAGCUCGCCAACAUCUACUCUUGAAAAGGAGACUCGAGUUUCCGAGCUUGUCGAUGCAGUUAUUCCAUCUGAUGAACUUUCGAACACUACUAAAUGGACUGGAGCUCGUGCGCUUCGUGCUGUUUCAGUGCAACUGACACAGAGCCUGGCAACAGAGGAAGAAGAAUUGCUCCCCGAAUCUGAGAAUAUCAUGCAUUUGGUGAUUCUUGAAAACAAAGAUGGUCAACCUGCUCAUUUAUUCAACAUCUCCACAUUUGAUAAUAUAUGGUCAACUGAAAAUAAGACAUCUUUUGGAAGAGAUUCGGUGUCCCAGCCACCUAUGAAAAGUACGGGCUCUUUGGAGCAGCAACUUGCUGCUUUGAAACCACUUGCAGCUUGCGUGUAAGUUCAAAUUAUUCAAGUUUUUAUUCUUAAUUGUACUAAUUUAGAAUCUCCGAAAAAGUAUCAUGCGAAGAGGCAAUUGAUGCCGCUAUGAAGUUUUUCGAUGCAGUUGAUGAAAGAUUGAAGAAGCAUUGUGAAAUCUCAAAGUUAUUCGUGGAGAGAUGUCUCGCAGUCUCUUCAAGUGCUCAAGCUCUUGAUGAAAAGCAACAAAGUGUGGAUCAACGACUGAUUGAGGUAAAUAAAACUUUUUUUUGCAUAUUGUUGAUUUAUAAAUACAUUCUUUUCAGGAAACAAACACUGUCGAAGAAUUGAAAAUUCGAAUGCACGAAACAAAAGAAAGAAUGGAAGGUGCGCGAAAAGGAAUCAAUGUGCUAUUCCACCGGGUUGACGAAAAUGUCCCAUUAAGUGACAAUGAAAUUCGAAUUUUCGAGCGUCUCAAGGAACACCAGAAAAUGCUCUCGGAUAUGACAAAACUAGUUCCGAAGGUGACCAGUAUCUUCAAAUUAUACACAACAAUAAAACUAUUUUUACAGAUGACAUUAGAUUCGAAUGAGAUCCACCGAAUGGCCAAUAUAGUGCUGAAAAAACGUGGAACAGGCGAAGAGCAGAACAGAUUUGCAGCUGUUGAGAAAAAGUGAGAUUUAAAUUCAAAUGGCAAUGUUUCAAAAAUAUCUAAACAUUUGCAGUGCUACCGAAAUCGAAAGCUUGGAAGCUCGCGAGAACAAACUGAAUACCGGAAUUUCUGAGCUUUCUAUCUGAAAGUUAAUCUUAUUGUAAUGUUUUGAUAUUAUUGUUGUUGAAUGAAUCACUGUUUCCAUUCCUUUCUUUAUUAAAAAAAAACAGCAAAUAGAAAGGCAAAAUUGCAUACAGAAAAUGCGAAAACUUCUAACCGUUUCUUCUUUGUAAGAAGCUAAGAUGUGGUACCAAUACAGAAAAAUCAUUGGGUGAAUGUUGAGCAGGAGGAGGCAGUAAAAUGUAUAAUUUGAUGUGUAUAUGUAAAGUACAUUUAAAAUAUGAUUAUUAUGAGCUACCAAAUUCGAGACGACGUUUGGCAGUGGAGCAGCUCGAUGAAACUUCAUCAGGAGAAUCUUGCGGAGAUCUUUUUCGUGGGGUCAAAAACUUUUCAGACUCCCCAGCAAGUUGAAGUGCACGCUUCACGCGAUCCGCUAACAGUGGCUCUUUCCUCAAACUACGAUCUCCCAUCACGAAGAUUUCCCAUUUUGUGGCCAUGCGAGGGCAAUUGUUGAUAACCUGAAAAAUUUCUAAAUGAAACAGACAAGAAAUUUGAUAAGCAUACAUAAUCUUCAGAUGGAUAGAAUCCGACAACUUGUUUCCCUUCAUGCUCACUCGGUUUUCCAUCGUAGAAAAUCUGACGUUCGAUUGGAUGAGUUUUAUCGUCCAAACCUCUACCAAGGACGGAAUGCUGAAAAUUAUAUAAUUUUGCUCAGCACCAGGACGGAAAUAAUCUUACCAUUACAGUGAACUGAAUAUCCUUCAGUUUUCCAUCCAUUUCUUCAGUAUCAUCCAUUUGCUCCAAAAUUUCUUUCAUCUUUUGUCCAACUUUUUUGACAACUUCUGCAGCUCCAGUCUGAUUGUUGCAAUUCCCCUUCAACUGCGUCGCAUUUUCUGGAUUCAUUUCAAAAUAACCAAGCUUGCAACCGAUUUCUCGUCGCUGGAUUUUCAAUAGAGCUGUCUGAGCUUCAAUCAUUUUUGGAUCCGUGAUCUGGGAGUUGAGAAUCUGAAAUUAAAAAAAAAAACUAGUUUUGAUGUUGUUUAGUUAUCUUCUCGCAAUACCUCCUGCUCUACAUAAUCCGUAGUUUUCAAGAAAGCAUCAACGUCUUCUGUGACAUUCUUCAGUGAGUAUAGUUCUCCAUUUGAUCCCUUAUACUUCAGGAAGUCACCUGCAUUGAUCAGAGCAUCCACCAUUCUAAAAUAUGAAUAUUUCUUGUUGUAAAAUAAAAUCAGGCUUUACAGUGUUUCCAUGAAUCUAACGGCUUUAUGUUGAUAAACUUUCGAAUGAAGUUCUUGUCGUGAAUCGCCGAUUGCUUUCAAGUCUCCGAUGCAUUUGAUAGAGUAGGCGAUUCUCUUCAAUCCACUAUUCGGAUCAAUUACUACACGGACAUGAUUGAAUAAACGUUCGAGUGUUGAUUCACUGAAUGUAAUACCAACUCCCGAUGCUUUUGAAUCUCUGAGCAAAUAAUCCAUUUUGUCGACAUCAUGUCCGUUAUAAGAAUUGGAGACAACGUCGAAUAGAAAUGAUUUUUCUGGUCCACAGCCAAUGAUAGCCCAUUCAUUUUUGACUGUUUCCUCACGCACGUCAGCAGGCAAAUCUUUAAAUCCGUCCAUAUCUUGGAAAUCCUGAAAGAAAAACAAUUGUCAUCAAAUAUCCUAUUUUGUCAAUUACAAACCACUUACAAAUGGUUUUCCGCUGAUAAGUUCUGUGAUAAGCGUAACACUUUUUGCAUACUCUUCGUCAGUUUCACCAAGAAUGCAAGCAAAUUCAGAUUUUAUUUCUGGUUUAUUCAUGAUUUUCUUGAUGAUUAAAAUAGACAUAUCCUCAUGCUUGAAUCUGCUUCCAUUGCGUUUUGCGAAUUCUCCAUCAAACAGAUGAGAGAAUGGUCCAUGUCCAACAUCAUGAAGUAGAGCAGCAACUGAUGUGCAGAUAAGAUCAGAUUCUGUGAUAUUUAGUGAUGGUUGACUAUGUCUGAGCUUAUCGACAAGCGCGUAGGCGAGUGAGAAGGUUCUGGAAACAAAAUAAAUUAAUUUAAUUAGCGUUUCUACGUAAUGGUCCUACCCCAGCGAAUGCACAAAUCUCGAGUGCUCACAAUUUGGAUACACAAGAUAGACGAGUCCAGUCUGUUUCAGAUGACGCAGCCGUUGAAAUUCCACAGUAUCAAUUAAUUUGUCGAUUGGUCUCGGCACUUUGACGGUUCCAUAAACAUUAUCAUUGAUGAUAUGCUUCGGUUCUAGGCUUUGCCAGUUCAUAUUGCAGCUGAAAAAUUAUAGAUAAAGAAAGUUUGAAGCAAAAUGAUUUUUUGUAAUGGAAAUUGAAGAACUGAAACAUUAAACAUUUCGAGAAUUUUUUUCGAAGCAUUGAAUAACCAGAAUAAACUUAGAUUCGACGUUGAGAUAGCAGACUUUAGGCGGGAAAUUUGGAUUUUGAAAUUAAAUUGUCUUUUCAUGCAGUCACAUGAUUCUCAAAAAUGAAAAAAACUCCAAAAAAUAUAGGAAGAAUGAAAGUAACCAGAAACACAAAAAAAACUAAACUUUGAAGAUUUAUGAAACAAAAGGAGAAAAAAGUGCAAAGUGAACUUUUUUCUAUUUAGGCAAGAGGAAGAAAGAGAAAGAUGGUUUUCAUUUGAAUUUAGCCCUCAACGACGGCAGAUGGUUAUCUCUCGAAGUACUCGUAUUUUAAAAUAACAUUGUGACACCUUUGUAAUCGCUUAAUUUCAGAUUUUUAUCGCUUGAAAGUAAAACUUCUACAAUUUCAAAGUUGAAAGAACUACGCACUUUCUCGCAAUGACGUCAUUUUAAAGAGCAGAGACUGAGGAGGAAAUUAUUUUCAGAGAAUUAAAUAAAACAAAAACGAGGAAAGUUCUUCUCUUUCUCUGAAAAAAGAAACGGAAACAUUAAUUAGAAAAAAAAUAAUUCGAAUAAUGCCGUUUUUCCUCGAGGAGUACACAACGCUUGGGUUUCUAGGCCAUACUUUCUAGGCCACCAUUUAAAUUUUCAGGUCUGAAUUCAGAUUCUGAUAGAAGCUCAACUCACUGCCUCCAUGAUUCUCUAAACAUGUGAAAACCUCGACGAAGACUGAUAAACGACAUUAUUAAAAUCGAAAAAUAAAUCCAAUUAUUUAUUAAAAGAAUGGUCUUCGAAUCGCGUCGGUCUGUGUCAAUACGUUUCUGCACUUUUCCAUCUUUUUUUUGCAUAGAGAAAGUAGAGAAAAAGGCUUUGAAUAAACGCAGGCACAGAGGAAAAGCUUCCAACUACGAGAUAGAAUUCAGAAUAGAGAGUAGAAGAGAUAUGAGCAGCUGUGUGGAGUGCACGGAAGUAGAUUGUGUCGAGUGGUUUUAACACUUGGUAUUUGUUUCAAUUCGAAUAAUUUCGUAUAUAAUUUAACUUCUGCCCCUUUUCUCUGACUAAUGAAAAAGAUAAUAUUGAAUUAAUAUUAGUUAAAAUUCCUGUGAAAAUUAUUGAACAUUGUUUUUAUUCGAAAAUAUACCAUAGAGCAAAGCUACGAAAAGAUUCGAACUAUGAGCACAUUGGAUAUCAGUUUAAAACUUAAAAAAUUAUUUUCAUUCAAAUAUAAUCUCUCAAUGCCCCUUCUUUUACCUAUUUAAGUUGCUAUUAGAGUGAGAAAGAAGUACACGUGGAAGGACAGGUCCUGGAAGUUGGAGUUAAUUCAGAUGAUAAGCACAAUUUAUUAACUCAAGGCCUGUCAAAAAUGAUCGGUCAAGGUUCUGGAGUCACUGGUUUUCUUUUUUUUUCCUGAUAAGAGCUUUUUGAUGAUCGUGCAAACUGAUAAUGCGCUAAAUUCUCUCUUUGUUUUUUUAUUGAUCUUUUUUUUUUGAAAAAAGUAGGUGAGUCACAGUGAAAGUUAUAACAAGUCAAUUUUUCCCAUUGAAAAGAUUAAUUACUUUGUUUAUCACAUUCACUUUUAAGAUUGCGUAAUCUUAGUUGGGAUCCGGAAAUUGCAACGGACCUGAAUGUUAAGAGUGAGCAAGAUGUCUGCAGUGGCAUGAUGAUUUUUAGUUUCGAGUCGAUUAUAGAGGGGGAGUGAUAACAGUCACAAUAUUUUUGAGGUUUUAAACGUGGGAAAGAGGAGAAUUGGAAAUGAAUAGACAUAUUGACAUGCUAAUACAAAAAUAUGACAUCAUGUGAGAUUGAUAGCAAAAGUUAAAAGUCAAGAGUUACGGUAUAAUCCAGUGCGAAAAGUUUCAAAUUUCUCGCCAAAAAUACGGUACCCGGUCUCGACACGACAAUUUUUGUUUAAUGCACGAAUGUGCCCUUUAUGUGCACUGUAAUUUCAAACUAUUGAUGCAACGAUUUUUUCCCGGAUUUUCAAUAGUUUUUGGAAAAAAGUCUUGGCAAAAUUUGGCUCACGGUCUGCCAACUUCUGAACAAAAUUAAUAUUUUAUAUAUAUAUUAUAAAUAUCAGCAAAACCUGCAGUAAUGUAGUACUACUGUAGGAAUUACGGAAGGGGUACGCUUGGGGCCAUUGUAUACAAUAUCCCACCGUACCUAAUCUGGGUGUCUCUGGAAUUGGUCGAAAAAGCUUAUUAGAACUGGUUUUUUACUAAUUAGAAGUGGUUCCAUCUUAUCUGAGUAGGUUCUACGCGACGACUACAUUUUGUACAAUAUCAAUAAAAGGUGAUCCAACUUUUUUCUAUAACUUCCUCAUAACUGCAGCUCUACAAACUUACGGGGAAGAUGAUGGGGUUGCAAUAUUCAAAGAACUCAGUCGACGCCGAACUUCUUUUGUGUGAAUCUUUGGAAACCAUGGUUGGCCACUGUCCAUGACGGAUGCACUCCGAUAUCGGGGACCUUUCAAACUUGUGGUGGUAUUCUGAAAUUCACAAUUUCAAUACCUAAAGCCCAUUUCAGACUUAAAAAUAGUUUUGCAAUAGAAAUGAAUGAAAUCAUUACUGUUGUCCAACAUUAUGCACCUAUAUAUAUAUCACUUGGCUCUCAACAAGGAACGCAAAAAAAUGACACGUGAUUUUUAUAGAAUGAUUGUUUUGAAACUUUGUAUUAAAAAGGACACUAUGAUGAAUUAAUAAUAAAACAAACAUUCAGAGUACGAGUAGUUGAUAUCAGAGCACUAAUAUGAGGAAUACGGUAGAUCCUACUUUCCUACUUUGUCAGAGUUUCGAACGAACGCUAAGAACUCUGGAAACAUUUUUUUGCGAUCAACACAUAUAUAUGUAUCAGCAAAACCUGAAGUAAUGAGAGUACUACUGUAGGGAUUACGGUAGGAGCGUCUGAAGAUCUCAUAGUUCAGUUAAUUCUGGAGUAGUUCAGGUUGUGCCUUUAUACCAGAGCUUUGCGAUUUGAUAGAAUAUUUGAAGUUAAAUUAAUGUGACUAGAUCUUAACGGGUUUUAUUAUAGUUUGAGUGAAAUACACACUGAUCAGCCCUAUAUUUGGUUUAUACAACUCCGGUAGAUACCUACCUAUUCAGCAAAUGUUACACAUUUAAAAAUUUGUUAACUGAGAAAAUUACCAAAACUUAUCAGCUAAAGAGUUGGACUCGGGCUUGACCUAGCGAUACCUCUCCUUUCAGGAGCAGUGGUGGACACUUUAGUGAUUGAUUUGAAGACUUAAAAUAUGUUUUACUAACACACAUUAUCUUUAACUUAUUUUUAACCAAGAUUAAAGUUCGUGCCAUAGAAAAAAGUGCCGAACAUUCUGUGAUAACUGAGGUGUCUUUGUACUCUAACUCCACCCUCACUAUCAUUAAGAUUGCUCACGUGAUGAGGGACCAACUAUCUCAAAAGAGCACGAAACUCUGGUCCCAUGCCAUCAUCCAGAAAGUUGUGAUGAGGAAUAAAAAAAAAAGAAAAACAACAACAUCUCAUUUUCAGACACACACUUGUCCACACUAAAGACGAUUCGAACAUUGAUAGGUGUAACAAUGUCACCAAAAAAACUUGCCGUUUCGAUCUUAAAGUGAUACAUUUCAGUAGUUGAGAAGAGGGUCUGGUGACGAGUGUUCAAUUGUCUGCAAAACUGAAACAAAAUAAGUUAAUAAAGUGAAUAACAAAAUAUUGAGAAAAAGACGAGAACGAGGGGAACUCUGCUGGUCACUUUGGUUUUAUCUUGUCAUUUAUCAGUACGUAAAACGUCACGGGGCACAUGCCAUGUUGCGGGAAAAAGAUGAAAAGAAAGCAUUCAUAAAUAACGCAUAAGUAUACUGAAACUGUUGUCCCCUGGAAGGAGAUUGAAAUAAUAGGAAUAUAACUCAGAAAGUAUGUUCAAGAAGCUGUUUUAGAAAAAAUAGAAAAACUUUCUAUCAUAUUGAUUUUCCUAGCGAAAACUCAGUUUUAGCAAUUGGCCGAAACUUUUGAAAAUCGAACAUUUGUUGAACUGUACAUAUUGUUAUAAAAUUUUGUCAUGUUCCCAUUGAUUUACCACUGAAGAUAAUGCCUUAAUUGAACUUCCAAGAAAAUUAUUCAAAUACGAAAUCUAAACUGUUCAAAACUCAAAACAGCGAAGAUCAGGCAGACACAUCCACCUGACGCGGCUUUUUUCAUGCUUUCAACAAUUUUCAACAACAAAAUUAGAACUAUGUUAAAACCGUAUAAUGAGCAUUUGACAUAUUCUGAUAAACUAUAAGAGUAUAGAUAGGAAAGGUACGGAAACCGCACUUUUAUCAUAAAGUACACGUCAUUUUCAAUCUUUUUUUGCUUUAUCAAUUAAAAAAAACUUGUUUCAAAAACUAUAAUUUCCCUCCUUACAGUUCGGAUCAAUGUUCUAUGCAUAUUUAUUUUCUCCUCUUCCCACACCACGUACAACCAUCAUUUUCCCUUUGGUAUCCCUGCCGAAUAAAAUGUGAUAAUUCUGCCUCCUAAUAAAAAAUACGGGGGAGCGAAAUGUGCCCAGUUUUUCUUUUUUGACAAUUUUCUUUUUUUCCAUUUCGAGAAUAAAUGGAAGAAUCACCCACAAAAACAUUCAAAUGUCCAAAGUGUUGGAACAAGUUUGAGAAUAAACCAAAACUGAUUACUCAUGUCGAUUUGGAAUGCAAACAUAAAUAUUUUAGAUGCGAGGUAGGUGUCUUUUUUGUUUAUUAAAACGGUUUCUUAAAGUAAAUUUUAAAAAUUUGUUUGAUGUUCCGACAGUUCUUUUCUAAAAUGUUGUUUUUAUUACAUUUUUGACAUGUUUAGGUGAGUAGCUUUACGUUUUUUUUUUCAAAUAAUCCUUCCUGGAAUUGAAGUCAAGUUCCAUCUGCUCAAAGCGUUGCUUUUCCGCUGUUGCAGGGGAUGGAGACGACUUGCCGUCAUGGAGAUAUGAAAACACACCUCACUAUCAGUCUGAAAAAAGUAGGCUUUAGAUAAUUUUUCAAUUUCAGUUAUGUGACUUCAAAUCAACUCAAAAAACUGGACUCACCAGUCAUUAUCACGGCCACAUUCGUCAGUCAAAUGUCAUCCACUGUCCAUAUUGCAAAAAGAAGAAAACGUUCAAAAGCAGGAACAAUUUGAUGGUAAAAAAUUAUUUCUGAUGAAUUUUAAAGUAUAUUCCAGGUACAUGUUCACCAUUAUCAUCCCACGCAUAUAAACGAAAUGAAGCAGGCAAACUUGGAAAGUGCUAAAGUGAGUCUGUCAAAAAUUCUGAAGGAGCUUAUGAACUUAUAUGUCCGCAGGAAGAAAAAAUGAAGACAAUGUUGGAAAAGCAAGCAAAAGAAGCACACGAAUUCGAAAUUUCACAACCAGCGGUAAGUUGUUCAUUUCAUUUAUUUCAAUUUACUGUAAGUAGCCUGAAGUUGACUUUUCCAAAAAUUAUAACUACUCAAUUUAUUAUUAUAAUGAAAAUUUAUUUCAAAUCUCCAACUAUGAAAAGUGAUCUAAGGCAUUCAAUACUUCAUCAAAAUAUUUCUCCCAUUGCCAUUUGUAAGAAAAUAUUUAAGUUUUAUAAGGCUUUGAGAGUUUUUUAAACCUUCAAUAUUUUUUUCAACUCAAGAGUAACAACUUUCAGGUAUUUGAAAAGGAUUUCGCGAGUUAUGAUCUACCGAUGUUUUCUCAAUGCCCUCCAAUGAACGGGAUUCCAGUAUCAACUCCAAUUGAAUAUCCUUAUUCUCAAAAUCCUUAUCAAGAUCACACACCAUUUGAUAGCUAUCCCUACCCAAAUUUCCACCCACAACAGCUCCCACUGCCAACUUUCGAGAACAAUCUUCCAGACAUUGCAACCUACUUCGAUUUAUAAGUGCUUUUGCCACUAACCAUGUAUGUAAAACUAUAUUUUAUUCAUCUAAUCAGCAAAUUCGAAAAAAUCAAUAAAUAUUUAAAACAUGGCGACAUCAAUCUAAAACCCGAACAGAAUUGUUUUGUUUGAAAAACUGUUAUUUGCCAGAUUGAAUAACGUAUUCCAUCCAAAUGUCCUCUCCGAGAAUUACUUUGACACAUUGGAACAGCUCGAGUCUCUCCUUCUCUUCAUCAACUGACUCGGCAUCUGGAUUUUCCUCACGUAAUUUCUGGAAUGAUUUAUUGUUUCAUUUAUAUUGUUUCCUUUUUGAUAAUUCAACAAACUCACUCUAGCUACAGACAGCUGCUUUCUGAAUCUAUCAACAGCUUUCUCGAACGGCUCCAAUUUGAUAUCACCUCGAAGCGUGGUCUGUACUCCCUCGUCGACUUUUUCUGGUUUUUGAUAGGCACUUUUCUAAAACUUGAAAUGUUACCGUAUCAGGAAGAAAGCUACCUUACGUAUUGGUUAAAAAUUUUGUCAAAAUAGUAGGUGUGAUGCGGAGCACAGAAGUCAUAUGCUACGGUUUCGCGGAAGUGAUCGUGGACCGGGAUUUCUUUCAAGUUCAUGAUCUGAAAAAAAUAGAAUACUUAAAGUACUAAAAAAAAUUAUAGAAGGAUUUGAGAACUAACUCGGCAAUUCGCCGCAGCUUAAUCACCAUCUUUAGCAACUUUAGAAAUUCCAAGCGAAAAAGUUGCCAAAAUUUGGUUUAAAAAAAGGAGAUUUUUCUAAGCUUGACUAAACUUGAUUAAAAUGUUGAGGUCGGGAAAGAAGUUGCUAAAAGAAGCUUUAAAGUUGCGAGAAAAUAAAGUUGACGCUUAAGUUGAUGAAGUUGAUGGAUAAGUUGCAACGAAUUGUCGAGUAACACGACAAAAAAGUUUGGGUACAGGAACAAAAAUUAAGGCCUACAAAAACACAUUCUGUUAAAAGCCUAAAAAUAAAACAGAAAUAGAAUAUUAUAGGAAUGGUUCUCAAACAUAUCAGUAUCUAAUGAAAAAAACUUCCAAAAUUGAUCAAUACCAUCGUUAUGCAAUACGAAAUGAGCGAUGAGAGGAACUGCUGCUCAUAAAGAUUUCGAAACACUUCGAUAAAGAAAACGAUUGCGUCAUAAUUAUCGACGCUUCCUCAGGGCAAAGCAGUAUUUGAAUUUGAUUAAAAAGUUGUACAGAAAAUAUAAUUUAGGCCGAAAAGGGAAAUAUGACGAAAUCAAAGAAAAAGUGGCCUUUUCCACCGUGUUACACAUUAAACAGCCAGAUGAAUUCUAUGAGAGACGGAAAAGGAACGAAACACAACUUCACUGUUUUGGUGAACGAUGUGCACAAAACAACAGUUCAAGCAAUCAACAAUAACAGUAGAGAAGAAUACAUGAGCUUUAAUUGUAGAAAAUGCAAAUUUAUUUAAAAUCAUUCAUAGUCAUUCAUUCUUUAAACACACACAAAUUUCAGAGCCAUUUUGCUUUUUUAGUUUAUACUCUUCAUCAUCAAUUAUUAAGAUAAAUGUUUUACACAACCACAAGCUACCUUCACUGUAGCAGCUGAAUUGUCAAACUGUGCGCAGUAAUGUGGUGCUGAAUGUGGUGAGUGUGGUGUGAGAAUAUGGUAACCAUCUUUUUCGACGCGAAGAAUUCAAAUAUAUCCUGAAGAACUUAAUGAGCACGAGCAACCAAACCCGAGUCUAGUAUGGAGAAUAGAUCCACCACAACGUCUUGUCCAAAACCAUUUGAUGUUCGUUUUGUCUUGAUUUCAGGGAAAACGAUUCAAAAUUAAUUUAACAAUUUGAAAAACAUUUUUCAAACAAUUUAAAUUUAUUUUCAAUUCAUUAAAGCCCUUUUUAUAGGGGUUUUAGACAAAAUAUUUUUUAUUGAACAAUUGUUUCUCCGAAAAACAAUUUUGCCUUUCAAGUUAUAAAACAAUGUGAUAUCAAUUUAAUUCUGAAUUUUUAUUUGAAAAAGAUUUCACAAUUUUCAAUACGUGAACUUUGCCCCACAAAGAUUAAAUUUUACAAAUGAAAGAGAAAACCGAGUCAUUACAAAGUCUCUUUUUUAAAGAUGAUUUUUGCUGUGGUGGAUAUUCUAGAAAUAUCGAUUCAAUUGUUAUGUAUUCUGUUGUUUGGAACGACCGUGAUUAACUGUGUGAGUAAGGGAAGACACAAGGAUGUGAAUGCGAUUGUUCGCGAAACCGAAAGCAAGAAAAUUGUGCCUUGGAGUGAUGCAAAAGUGCAAAUCAAGAAGUUCUUAGGGGAUGGAGCCAGUGGAACAGCCUAUUUGGUGGUGUGGGAAGACAAGGAGGUUGUUAUGAAGGUGACAGGUAUUCACCCACAGUCGAUUUCGGUACUCCACGACGAACUUUUGAUCACGCAGAAGAUUGGCAAAUUGUCAAAAAGUUGCCAUAAUUUUCUGCCAUAUCACGGAUCAAUCGUCAUAAGCGACCUUCCAGCUAAAAUGAUGCGGAAUUCCGAAUGUGUCAACCAUCUUGCGAUUUUUAUGGGUUAUGGUGGAACAGUUUUGGCCGAUUGGAGAACCAGCGACUACAGACGGUGUAUCACAAUUAUGGCUCAAUUGGUUCUGGCUAUGAGGAUUGCCAACGACAAGAUGAAAUUUGUUCAUGGUGACAUCUAUAUGAUGAAUAUUUUAAUUGCUCCAACAACCAAACGAUGGAUCGAAUACAACAUUGAUGGCAAAACAAUUACGAUUCAAACAUUUGGCAUUAUCCCGCAAUUGAUUGACUUUUCGAAAAGUUGGUGUGGAG